GACGAACGCUGGCGGCGCGCCUAACACAUGCAAGUCGAACGGAAGUGUUCAAUCGGAAGUUUUCGGAUGGAAGAAUGGACAGUUUAGUGGCGAACGGGUGAGUAACGCGUGAGUAACCUGCCCUUCAGAGGGGGACAACAGUUGGAAACGACUGCUAAUACCGCAUAAGCCCACGGUACCACAUGGUACAGUGAGAAAAGGNGAAAUCCGCUGAAAGAUGGACUCGCGUCUGAUUAGAUAGUUGGUGGGGUAACGGCCUACCAAGUCGACGAUCAGUAGCCGGACUGAGAGGUUGAACGGCCACAUUGGGACUGAGAGACGGCCCAGACUCCUACGGGAGGCAGCAGUGGGGAAUAUUGCACAAUGGGGGGAACCCUGAUGC
RNAcentral lists this ribosomal RNA (382 nucleotides) under uncultured bacterium. RNAcentral's name for it is "bacterial SSU rRNA". It matches the Rfam family "Bacterial small subunit ribosomal RNA", at positions 28 to 389 of the family's 1533-position model. The record is from RNAcentral.